AUUGAACGCUGGCGGCAUGCCUAACACAUGCAAGUCGCACGCGAAAGGGGGCAACCCCGAGUAGAGUGGCGGACGGGUGAGAAACGCGUAGGAAUCUACCUGGUAGUGGGGGACAACCCGGUGAAAACCGGGCUAAUACCGCAUACGAUCCACGGAUGAAAGCAGGGGACCGCAAGGCCUUGCGCUAUCAGAUGAGCCUGCGUCGGAUUAGCUAGUUGGUGAGGUAACGGCUCACCAAGGCAACGAUCCGUAGCUGGUUUGAGAGAACGACCAGCCACACUGGGACUGAGACACGGCCCAGACUCCUACGGGAGGCAGCAGUGGGGAAUAUUGGACAAUGGGGGCAACCCUGAUCCAGCAAUGCCGCGUGUGUGAAGAAGGCCUUCGGGUUGUAAAGCACUUUCGAUGGGGAAAAACAAAUCAGACCUAACACGUCUGGUCCUGAUGGUACCCAGAGAAGAAGCACCGGCUAACUCUGUGCCAGCAGCCGCGGUAAUACAGAGGGUGCAAGCGUUAAUCGGAAUUACUGGGCGUAAAGGGUGCGUAGGUGGUUUGUUAAGUCAGGCGUGAAAUCCCUGGGCUCAACCUGGGAACUGCGUUUGAUACUGGCAGACUCGAGUCUGGUAGAGGGUAGUGGAAUUCCGCAUGUAGCGGUGAAAUGCGUAGAGAUGCGGAGGAACACCAGUGGCGAAGGCGGCUACCUGGACCAAGACUGACACUGAGGCACGAAAGCGUGGGGAUCAAACAGGAUUAGAUACCCUGGUAGUCCACGCCCUAAACGAUGGGUACUAGACGUUGGGGGGUUUAUCUUCCUAGUGUCGCAGCUAACGCAAUAAGUACCCCGCCUGGGGAGUACGGUCGCAAGAUUA
Molecule: ribosomal RNA, 869 nt
Filed under: uncultured bacterium
Lineage: Bacteria
Description: bacterial SSU rRNA
Rfam family: Bacterial small subunit ribosomal RNA
Source: RNAcentral